UACGUAGGGCGCAAGCGUUGUCCGGAAUUAUUGGGCGUAAAGAGCUCGUAGGCGGCUUGUCACGUCGGGUGUGAAAGCCCGGGGCUUAACCCCGGGUCUGCAUUCGAUACGGGCUAGCUAGAGUGUGGUAGGGGAGAUCGGAAUUCCUGGUGUAGCGGUGAAAUGCGCAGAUAUCAGGAGGAACACCGGUGGCGAAGGCGGAUCUCUGGGCCAUUACUGACGCCGAGGAGCGAAAGCGUGGGGAGCGAACAGG
This 253-nucleotide ribosomal RNA is filed under the name uncultured bacterium. RNAcentral describes it as "partial 16S ribosomal RNA". It matches the Rfam family "Bacterial small subunit ribosomal RNA", at positions 524 to 776 of the family's 1533-position model. The record is from RNAcentral.